Molecule: unclassified non-coding RNA, 390 nt
Filed under: soil metagenome
Description: partial contains 5.8S ribosomal RNA, internal transcribed spacer 2, and large subunit ribosomal RNA
Rfam family: 5.8S ribosomal RNA (bases 1-122)
Source: RNAcentral
GAUGAAGAACGUAGCGAAAUGCGAUACUUGGUGUGAAUUGCAGAAUCCCGAGAACCAUCGAGUCUUUGAACGCAAGUUGCGCCCGAAGCCAUUAGGCCGAGGGCACGCCUGCCUGGGCGUCACACGUCGUUGCCCCCCCAUCUACUCCUUCGGGAUUGCGGGGGGCGGAUGAUGGCCUCCCGUGCGCCUCGUCGCGCGGUUGGCAUAAAUGCCAAGUCCUCGGCGACGCACGCCACGACAAUCGGUGGUUGCGAAACCUCGGUUGCCCGUCGUGUGCGGUCGUCGCGCAUCGAGGGCUCGAAAAAAUUGUCGGGCUCCGGCUCGGCUUUCAACGCGACCCCAGGUCAGGCGGGGUUACCCGCUGAAUUUAAGCAUAUCAAAAGCGGAGGA